Molecule: ribosomal RNA, 246 nt
Filed under: uncultured bacterium
Lineage: Bacteria
Description: partial 16S ribosomal RNA
Rfam family: Bacterial small subunit ribosomal RNA
Source: RNAcentral
GUAGGGGGCAAGCGUUAUCCGGAUUUACUGGGUGUAAAGGGAGCGCAGACGGCAGUGCAAGUCUGGAGUGAAAGCCCGGGGCUCAACCCCGGGACUGCUUUGGAAACUGCAUAGCUGGAGUGCUGGAGAGGCAAGCGGAAUUCCUAGUGUAGCGGUGAAAUGCGUAGAUAUUAGGAAGAACACCAGUGGCGAAGGCGGCUUGCUGGACAGUAACUGACGUUGAGGCUCGAAAGCGUGGGGAGCAAA